CCCUUAGAUGUUCUGGGCCGCACGCGCGCUACACUGAUGCAUUCAACGAGUCUAAAACCUGGUCUGAUAGGGCUGGGUAAUCUUUUGAAAGUGCAUCGUGAUUGGGAUAGAUGAUUGCAAUUCUUCAUCUUCAACGAGGAAUGCCUAGUAAACGCAAGUCAUCAGCUUGCAUUGAUUACGUCCCUGCCCUUUGUACACACCGCCCGUCGCUCCUACCGAUUGAAUGAUCCGAUGAAUACCAUGGAUUGAGAGUACGAAUGGGUUCGCUCAUUUCUGCUGCUCGAGAAGUGGAGUAAAUCUUAUCAUUUAGAGGAAGGUGAAGUCGUAACA
Molecule: ribosomal RNA, 330 nt
Filed under: uncultured eukaryote
Lineage: Eukaryota
Description: partial 18S ribosomal RNA
Rfam family: Eukaryotic small subunit ribosomal RNA
Source: RNAcentral